This 24-nucleotide non-coding RNA is filed under the name Rattus norvegicus (Norway rat). Lineage: Eukaryota; Metazoa; Chordata; Mammalia; Rodentia; Muridae. The record is from RNAcentral.
UGAAAGAUGCCAUAAGUGACCCCC